RNAcentral lists this ribosomal RNA (253 nucleotides) under uncultured bacterium. RNAcentral's name for it is "partial 16S ribosomal RNA". It matches the Rfam family "Bacterial small subunit ribosomal RNA", at positions 524 to 776 of the family's 1533-position model. The record is from RNAcentral.
UACAGAGGUCCCGAGCGUUGUUCGGAUUCACUGGGCGUAAAGGGUGCGUAGGUGGUGUGGCAAGUUUGAUGUGAAAUCUCCGGGCUUAACCCGGAAAAUGCAUUGAAUACUGCCAGGCUGGAGGGUUGGAGGGGGGACUGGAAUUCUCGGUGUAGCAGUGAAAUGCGUAGAUAUCGAGAGGAACACCAGUGGCGAAGGCGAGUCCCUGGACAACACCUGACACUGAGGCACGAAAGCUAGGGGAGCAAACAGG